GCAAAAGACCGAUUGUACUUGAGGAACAAAAUCGGGGAUGAUCAUCCUUUAGUGGCGGGAAGCUGGAAAAUGAGGGACUGUGGGCUGUGAGGAGAGAGAAAGAGGCUUGAGAAACCAGAAACCAUCAUUUGCAUCCAAGAAACUGUGCUCUCCAUGGCUUCCUCAAGAUGAGCAAACAAGAGUGAUACAGAUUUUUCUGAGAUGGACAGUGCCUCUCACUGACCCCGCCCCCAGUAUCCUACGACCAAGGAAAAGAAUCUCAUGUGUCAUUUCUGUGGGCCACGGUAGUUAAGGAAACUCCAUGUAUU
Homo sapiens (human) is the source of this 308-nucleotide long non-coding RNA. Ensembl annotates it as EGLN3 antisense RNA 1. Its record names the gene EGLN3-AS1. The record is from Ensembl. Lineage: Eukaryota; Metazoa; Chordata; Mammalia; Primates; Hominidae.